UAUAAGAUUGAUGAUUAAUAAAGUGUCAUCCAUCCAUGAUUUAAUUAAAGAUGACCUCUGCCCCACCAGUCUUGCAUGCAUUUCUUAAAUGCUGAUUGAAUGAUCCUGCUGGACAAGUUUUGGCAUAGUUGAUUCUAGACAAGCAUUGGGUACAGCAUGAGCCUAAGAGGAAGUGACGAAGAGAUACUGUGGAUGUGUUCUUUGUAGCCAAUCUGAAAUGCAGGAGGUCUCCUACCUCAAAGCUGAAUUAAAUGCAUACUUGUGUGCGUCCUGGGAUUUAUUCUAAUGGGCAAAUCAUCCUGCUGCAUUGCAAAGUCCCUGCAUGAGCUAAUACAGGUUCUUACCACAGUGGUUUUGGAAUCGUCAAAGAUGACAAUGCUCAGUAACUUAAACAUCCAUCUCAGAGGAUGAGUUUUCUAUAUCAGCUCAGGAUUUAAUGGAUACCAUGGAGAUGAAGGAAUUAUUGUCUCAAAUUCUUGAUUUAUUGUGUGGCUAGGACUGGAGAUUAGGCAUUUGGAUAUUAAAUCUAUGUCAUGGACUAAUCAUUACCUACCUCUUGUGGUUUGAGUUUAGGACAUAUCUAUUCUCCACGAGGGACUGGUUGAUAAUACACCCUAUGAAGUUAAUGGAAUGGGAACUCUUCCAGAAGGCCCAAAGGGAAGAUAUGACACAUUCAAGAGACUUCAGGACUUGAUGAAGUGAGAGUGAAGACUGUUAGAACACCAGUGACCGAAGUCAUGGGCUGAAACUGACCAAGUGCACUACAAAAGCUUUUUGAAUUCUUACAUCAUGGCUCUGAAGGAGACAGACAAAUGUCUGCAUCAUGGUGUCUGCAAAGUGCUGGUCAGUGGAUUUUGAAUUAUGACAGUUGGGUUAAUCCAAGCUAUCUUUAUUCAAUGGCCCAACUCAAAAAGGUUAGGAAAUGCCCAAAUUAAGGUUGCCCAUGCAACUUUAAUUUGGUCCUCUUCUGUGUAUGCAUUAUGAUACACUUCUUAAUUACAUGAUCACAUACUGUUUUUCCACAGGACCCUGACCUAGUCAGUGCACUGGGAGGACGGUGUUCAGAGAAUGGCCUGAAACUCAUCAACUAUUAAUAAAAGGGGAUGAAUAUCCAGAGGAGAACCCACAGGACAGGCUAAAGAGGAAGAAAUCUUGUACGAUUUUCCUUAUGGAAGUUUUUCCUGAAUUGUACCCUUUUGUCAAUGUACAGAGCAAGUCACGAGGCCAACCUUCAAAUCCCCUAUAUCAACCAUGAUCUGUAUGCAUCCUGGAGGAAUAAUAGAGGCCUGGGUCAUCCACAUGGAGGCCUCAUGCCUCCACACUGAUUCUGUGUCCUUGGCACCCCUUCCAAUUCCUGGCAGUACGGGUCCAAUGCAACUGUCCUCCCAGAGUUGCCUGGGAUUCCCAAUUCAGGAGGGUGGCAUGGGAGGCUCAUACAGCUUGUAUUAAAUUUCUUUUUUGAGAAUCUGCACAAAGCCAGUGAGGAACCAUGUCCACUUGUGUCUCACUUUGCCCAGUUCACCCACUUUUGCCCCUUCGCCACUCUCAGAUCCCUGGACUCUGUGAAGUCUGGGUCAAAGGAAGAUAAUUGAUCCCCUGCUUUUCACCUGGGCAGGAUGUGACCUCAGGGUAUGCCUCCUCUCCUCACAUAGAAAAUGGAAACCCAAUAAUCAUAUACAUAUUUAAAAGGCAAUAAUCUAAGGUCUCUUUGACCCUGCCCUAUUUGGCUUUCUGUGAUUACCAUCCAUCAUGUGAACGAGGAAAUGUGUAUUUUAAAAAGAUAAAGAGGAUUUAUGCUG
Trachemys scripta elegans is the source of this 1799-nucleotide long non-coding RNA. RefSeq lists it as uncharacterized. The transcript is spliced from 3 exons. The record is from RefSeq and is a predicted model, not a curated record. Lineage: Eukaryota; Metazoa; Chordata; Testudines; Emydidae.